AGAGUUUGAUCAUGGCUCAGGACGAACGCUGGCGGCGUGCUUCAUACAUGCAAGUCGUGCGAGAAAUCUUGAUUUAUUUCGAGAGAGUAAAGCGGCGAACGGGUGAGUAACGCGUGGGUAACCUGCCUCUGAGUUGGGGAUAACCCCGAGAAAUCGGGUCUAAUACCCAAUAAUAUCCCGAAGGGACAUCCCUUAGAGAUCAAAGGUGACCUCUACUUGUAAGUUACCACUUGGAGAGGGGCUCGCGUCCUAUUAGCUUGUUGGUGAGGUAACGGCUCACCAAGGCAGCGAUGGGUAGCCGGCCUGAGAGGGUGUCCGGCCACACUGGGACUGAGAUACGGCCCAGACUCCUACGGGAGGCAGCAGUAGGGAAUAUUGCGCAAUGGUCUAAAGGCUGACGCAGCAACGCCGCGUGGGUGAUGAAGCUUUUCGAAGUGUAAAGCCCUGUCAGGAGGGAAGAAAUUCCCUUGGGGAAAUACUUCAAGGGGANGGACG
RNAcentral lists this ribosomal RNA (495 nucleotides) under uncultured bacterium. RNAcentral describes it as "bacterial SSU rRNA". It matches the Rfam family "Bacterial small subunit ribosomal RNA", at positions 8 to 474 of the family's 1533-position model. The record is from RNAcentral.